AGAUGAAGAUAGCACGGUUGUGUGCACAGAAAUUAAUUUUCAGUUUGGUCUGCAUGUCUGCUCUUGAUGAUUUCUGAUCUAGGGACCUGGUAAUGACCUACAUAU
This is a small nucleolar RNA of Mangifera indica (mango), 105 nucleotides long. RefSeq annotates it as small nucleolar RNA snoR100. Lineage: Eukaryota; Viridiplantae; Streptophyta; Magnoliopsida; Sapindales; Anacardiaceae. The record is from RefSeq and is a predicted model, not a curated record. The transcript has a single exon.